AUGCAUCUCUCCACUGACUCUACCAAGCAGUCGCCGACAUUCGCCCCUCCUAGUGACCCUAUGGCGCAUCUCCUCCAUGAGAAAAGGAACCCUAAAUCCAAAUUGGCUGAGGGGAUUUCUGACUCGAUUCUGAGCCGCCUCGCUUCCUCGUCGGUGCUACCGCUCGAUGAUGAGGACCUUCUCCAGGAGAUCCUCCUCCACCUCCCUCCACAACCAUCCUCCCUCCCGCGCGCCUCGCUUGUUUGCCCAUGCCGGCGUAACAUCCUUUCCAACCACAAGUUUCUCCGCCGCUUUCGCAAGCAUCACCGGAAACCACCUCUGCUUGGCUUCUUUGCAAGGUGUUUAAUCAGUAAAGCGACCGUCUUCACUUCUGUCCUUAACUCGCCUGACUGCAUCCCUGCUGGUCGCUUUCUCGUGCCACACAGCCACAACCCGUUCAAGGAGUUGCGCUUCAUGGGAUGCCGCCAUGGCCUCGCUGUCCUAUUCGAAAUGUCACUACAUUCCCCCAUGCCAACGGGUUUGAUUGUGUGGGAUCCACUCAAUGGUCAACAACACAACCAUUUGACAAUGCCAUCAGGGCUCAAUGGUGACAAAUGGGAGUGUUGGAAUGCCACUGUGUUGUGCACUAAUGUCGAAGAUGGUCAUGUGCACGGUGAUUGCUUCUCGAGCCCGUUCAAAUUGGUCUUGAUCUUCAACAGAGACACAGAUGCUUCAACCUGCGUCUACGAAUCGAUAUCUGGUGUAUGGGGAGAUAUUGUCUCCGUGGAAACCAAGAAAGUAAUUUCUCCCUUGAGACCCAGCAUUCUGAUUGGAAAUGUACUUUACUGGUUGCUUGUUGGAGGUGAAGUCCUUGUGCAUGAUUUUGAAAGGCAGAGUCUUGGUCUGAUUGAGAAGCCAGCAGACACACAUAAUGGACAUGUCGAGCUUUCUUAUCAUCUCUUACGGAUAGAGGAUAAUGGACUUGGUAUGGCCAUUGUGUCAGAACUUACAAUUAAAUUAUGGGAGAGGAAAUCCAACUGUGAUGGUGUUGCUGAAGAAAAUUGCUCCACUGGAUGGGUUGUUUCCGCAGACAAUGCCUAG
RNAcentral lists this ribosomal RNA (1080 nucleotides) under Triticum aestivum (bread wheat). RNAcentral describes it as "partial small subunit ribosomal RNA". Lineage: Eukaryota; Viridiplantae; Streptophyta; Magnoliopsida; Poales; Poaceae. The record is from RNAcentral.